RNAcentral lists this ribosomal RNA (952 nucleotides) under Magallana angulata. Its description in RNAcentral is "small subunit ribosomal RNA". The stretch from base 179 to 951 matches the Rfam family "Microsporidia small subunit ribosomal RNA". The record is from RNAcentral. Lineage: Eukaryota; Metazoa; Mollusca; Bivalvia; Ostreida; Ostreidae.
UAAAGUAAAUAUUUGGUUCUGGUAUAAUGUUAGCUACAGAGUUUUUUACAUUACACAAUGUAGGAUAAUUUCGUGAUGUGUAAAAGUCUGAUUUACGUGAUAAGCCAAGCUUAAUGCAUCCUAAAAGGAAUAGUCGGCAGCAGGAGCAUAAGUUUUUUAAUGAUGACGCGAAGGAAAUCACAACUCAAGUGGGUAGAUCUGGAAAUCAAUGAGUUCUAGCUUGAAACGAAUAAAAAACUAACUAAAUCGAAGCGAAAGAGGGUGCCAGCAGCUGCGGUCACUCCCUCUCUCGAGGAGCUAAUAAGGGUGCAGCUUAGAGGCAGUUAGUCAAAAAGUGUGACGCAAGACAUACAGCAAGGACUAUGGGUGAAAUCUCAGUCUUGCGGGAGGUCCAAAGCUUGCGUAAAGAUGAAUCUGCGAAGUUAUGGGCAUAGACCCGGAUUUGGUACCCGGUUAUUCCAUAAUGUCAAGUAUAGCUAUUUUAUUUGAAUUAAUAGUUUGCUAGGGGUACUACGAGCAACUGCUUAAAACUCGAAGAACUUGGCGGUUCCGCAUAACCAUCCCGAGCUUCUUGGCGCUUUAAUCUGAUGGUCCGCGAGAUAUCCUUACUUCCCUAUAGAAAAGCAGUGUACUGCCGUCGAAAGCUUUAUGAUGUGAGUAAAUAAAAAUAGGCCCAAUCUUGGGGUUUUAAGCAAUUAAUAAUCAUGCCGAGGGCUAGGUCAGGUCGAAGUGCUCCUUAUGGGCAAGGGGUUAGCUGAGAGACAAAUAUUUAGACAUAUAAAGAUUUUAGGGAUGAAAUUCUCUUAGUGUAUAUAAGGAUUUGGGAGUAAAAAGAGAGUAACUCGUUUUUUUGAAAAGACGCAACUGCGGUGCGUUCAAAUCGCCCGUCACCCUAGCCGAAAGGAGAGGUAAGUCGUAACAUGGUAAGGGUAGGGGAACUUGCUCUUUUAAU